RNAcentral lists this ribosomal RNA (1372 nucleotides) under uncultured bacterium. RNAcentral's name for it is "bacterial SSU rRNA". It matches the Rfam family "Bacterial small subunit ribosomal RNA", at positions 28 to 1381 of the family's 1533-position model. The record is from RNAcentral.
GAUGAACGCUGGCGGCGUGCCUAAUACAUGCAAGUCGAGCGAACGGACGAGAAGCUUGCUUCUCUGAUGUUAGCGGCGGACGGGUGAGUAACACGUGGAUAACCUACCUAUAAGACUGGGAUAACUUCGGGAAACCGGAGCUAAUACCGGAUAAUAUUUUGAACCGCAUGGUUCAAAAGUGAAAGACGGUCUUGCUGUCACUUAUAGAUGGAUCCGCGCUGCAUUAGCUAGUUGGUAAGGUAACGGCUUACCAAGGCAACGAUGCAUAGCCGACCUGAGAGGGUGAUCGGCCACACUGGAACUGAGACACGGUCCAGACUCCUACGGGAGGCAGCAGUAGGGAAUCUUCCGCAAUGGGCGAAAGCCUGACGGAGCAACGCCGCGUGAGUGAUGAAGGUCUUCGGAUCGUAAAACUCUGUUAUUAGGGAAGAACAUAUGUGUAAGUAACUGUGCACAUCUUGACGGUACCUAAUCAGAAAGCCACGGCUAACUACGUGCCAGCAGCCGCGGUAAUACGUAGGUGGCAAGCGUUAUCCGGAAUUAUUGGGCGUAAAGCGCGCGUAGGCGGUUUUUUAAGUCUGAUGUGAAAGCCCACGGCUCAUCCGUGGAGGGUCAUUGGAAACUGGAAAACUUGAGUGCAGAAGAGGAAAGUGGAAUUCUAUGUGUAGCGGUGAAAUGCGCAGAGAUAUGGAGGAACACCAGUGGCGAAGGCGACUUUCUGGUCUGUAACUGACACUGAUGUGCGAAAGCGUGGGGAUCAAACAGGAUUAGAUACCCUGGUAGUCCACGCCGUAAACGAUGAGUGCUAAGUGUUAGGGGGUUUCCGCCCCUUAGUGCUGCAGCUAACGCAUUAAGCACUCCGCCUGGGGAGUACGACCGCAAGGUUGAAACUCAAAGGAAUUGACGGGGACCCGCACAAGCGGUGGAGCAUGUGGUUUAAUUCGAAGCAACGCGAAGAACCUUACCAAAUCUUGACAUCCUUUGACAACUCUAGAGAUAGAGCCUUCCCCUUCGGGGGACAAAGUGACAGGUGGUGCAUGGUUGUCGUCAGCUCGUGUCGUGAGAUGUUGGGUUAAGUCCCGCAACGAGCGCAACCCUUAAGCUUAGUUGCCAUCAUUAAGUUGGGCACUCUAAGUUGACUGCCGGUGACAAACCGGAGGAAGGUGGGGAUGACGUCAAAUCAUCAUGCCCCUUAUGAUUUGGGCUACACACGUGCUACAAUGGACAAUACAAAGGGCAGCGAAACCGCGAGGUCAAGCAAAUCCCAUAAAGUUGUUCUCAGUUCGGAUUGUAGUCUGCAACUCGACUACAUGAAGCUGGAAUCGCUAGUAAUCGUAGAUCAGCAUGCUACGGUGAAUACGUUCCCGGGUCU